Podarcis lilfordi (Lilford's wall lizard) is the source of this 5089-nucleotide non-coding RNA. The record is from the annotation of a GenBank genome assembly. NCBI's taxonomy places the organism in Eukaryota, Metazoa, Chordata, Lepidosauria, Squamata, Lacertidae.
GCCUUUGGGAGGCAGAGACGCAAGAGGGCAUCAGAGGAGCGAUGGAAGGAAAGAGGGACAGAGGCUACUGUGCUGGUCCCGUUGGUUACCUGAGAGGCGAGGUCGAAGUCCAGUCCGUGGUCAAAGGUGCAACGUGGAGGCAGUCCGUAGUAGCUGAAGCUGGGUGCAGGGCAGGGAGUCGGGUGAAGUCAGGAACAGUCAAGCAAGCAGGGAGCCAGGGCGGGUCAGGAGCUCAGGCAGGAAAGCUGGAGAGGGUUCAAGCAGGAACUAACAACCAACAAUGUUGCUCCCGCAACUUGGGACUGGGGCUGGCCAACUUUUAUCUGUCCCGAGGCAUAGGGCAGCCCCAAUCUUCUGGAGACUCGCCUCUCUUGGCCUGGAGGCGAGCACUCCUUCUGUGGGAACUUACUUCCCUCUGCCUCUCUGCCCUGAGCCUCUGCAGUUCAGGAGAGGCUGGAGGUUUACCAGACCCAGAGGCAACUUCAGCUUCCUCUGACGGGGCUGAGAGUGGAGAACCUGCAGGCAAUGGGUCCUCCAUUAUCUCAGGAGCCAGAGCAGACUCAGCUGAUGCCUGUACCUGAGGAUCCAGCACAGGUGAGGACCCUUCAGGCUCAAGCCCCAGCCCCGGCUCAGCUGGUUCUGGAGGCGGGGAAUCCUGUGCUGGCUGGGAUCCCUCAGGUUCAGCAUCCAAGUCCGAAUCCCAGGCCAUCACAGCUACUGCUGCUUGCGGCAUGCCUAACCAUCAUUCAAGCCUCCCCCCCCCCCAGGGUGCCACAGCACACUGGUUGGAAACCACUGAUGUGAAAAAUAAAAUCAUACCAAACAGAAAUAAUUUUGUCCUUACUCCGGACACGGAGCAAUGGAUCCAAACUACAAGAAAGAAGAUUCCACCUAAACAUUAGGAAGAACUUCCUGACAGUAAGAGCUGUUCGACAGUGGAAUUUGCUGCCAAGGAGUGUGGUGGAGUCUCCUUCUUUGGAGGUCUUUAAGCAGAGGCUUGACAACCAUAUGUCAGGAGUGCUCUGAUGGUGUUUCCUGCUUGGCAGGGGGUUGGACUCGAUGACCCUUGUGGUCUCUUCCAACUCUAUGAUUCUAUGAUUCUAUGAUUCUACUUGACUUCUAGAGGCUCUCAGGUUAUAUGUCACUUUUUUCCUAGUAGGGCUGAUUCCUGUACAUUUGUGAACCAGUAAGAAAUAUCUGCUCUAGCUAGAUCCUUCCAAAAUGGGGCUAUUGUGGCUCUGGCUGCAGUAAACAUAUGGAUAAUUGAGAUCUUACAACAUAAUCCUUUAUCACUCUCUUCAAAGAUGUUUAGAUGAGCCAGUUGUGGAGUGCAUGCUACACUGCAAUUUGGACUUGCACUAAUCCCCUAAAACACAGAGAGCCAGAACCUUUGUACUUUUCCACAAUCCCACCAGAGAUGUCUACAAGUACCCACCAGCUGGUAUCUUGUGCAACAGCAUGGUGAUAGUGUAGAAUUUAUAUAGGAUAACAUCAUGGUGCUAAUAGCACUUACGUAGCCUUUUAAUUGCUGCCUCUUUGUCUGUAGCUGAGAUGGACCUAAAUGGGGGUUUCUUCCACCUUGUCUGGCAUUCCUGUUCCUCCAGUUUCAAACCCAAAUUCUUGCUCCCACAUUAUUUUAGGGCCUUCUGUACCAUUCAUUUAUUUUCUGUUUUGCAUGAAAACUGGGAAUCGGUGGGUUAUGGCCCUUUUUUGGGGUUGGUGAAACACCCUCUCCCAGCAGAUGCCCAUGUCCAACAAAAAUAUUUGUUUUGUUGUAAUCAAAUGUUGCUUUUGAGCCAUAGUAAGUGGUUUCAGUCACCCCGUGAAGCCACCCAUUCAAGCUUUCCUCAUCUGACUUUGCCCAAAUAGUGCCAGCUGAAAGAGUGGGUAAGGGCAAGCAUUUCUGCUACUGAGCAUUUGCCUUUUCUAUACAGUGGUACCUCAGGUUAAGUACUUAAUUCGUUCCGGAGGUCUGUACUUAACCUGAAGCUGUUCUUAACCUGAAGCACCAGUUUAGCUAAUGGGGCUUCCCGCCGCUGCCGUGCUGCCGUGCGAUUUCUGUUCUCAUCCUGAAGCAAAGUACUUAACCCGAGGUACUAUUUCUGGGUUAGCGGAGUCUGUAACCUGAAGCGUAUGUAACCUGAGGUACCACUGUACUUGUUUUCACAGUGUGGAAGAAGCACAGCUACUAUUUAGGAUUCCCCCAAAACCUCAAAACUGCAGUGCUGUCCACAGAGAGCAGGUGCAUACCCAUAAGACUUGGGAGAAAGAAAUAUUUUAUGUCUUAUCUUGGGCCAAACGGUUUAGAAGCAAUUGAUAUCAACGUUGUUGAGAAUACUGGCCUGUGAAAAAGGCCAGGCAGGAAGCCUGUGGAAAACCAUGAACCGACCUUCUAAUUGGCAGUCCUGAAAUCUGUUCCUCAAUGGACAAUUAAUAUCAUUAAGUAUCAACAUUGUAAAAACUUGAAAUAGUUCCAUUACAAUCACUGAUGGGAAUGAAGAUUCAUUUUGCUCAGAUAACCUGCCUUCCUUUCUGGGUUUGAAAAGACUGAACUGGUCCUUUAUAAACCCCAUCUCCAAAAUGUAAGGGGCUAAUUGUUUUAAAUGAUCUUUAUUGUAGGCAUCAUCUGGAAAAGAUCUUGUGAAUUUUGAACACAUGCUGUAAGUGAACCUUAGAUAUAUGUGCUUUGGCAGUUCCACAGAACUCCUCCACAGAAAAUUAAAUUGAUUCUUUGCAUAUGGAAGAUCCACAUCCCCCUCCCUCUCUCUCUCUCUCCAGUCAAACUGCACCCUAUGCCUUUACAGGGAGGUAGUUUUAUUGGACAAAGACUAUAUCCACUUGUUAUCAGUGGUUAUACUGCUUUGGGUAGCUCUGCUUGUUGGGUAAUUUAGGAAUUAGCUGCUCUCAUGCAACUUAUGUAUGUCAAAUCAUUCAAAUGCACUCAUGUAGGGGGUGAUUUAUGGGCACAGCAGGCAAGGGCAGUGUUCCCCAUUUCCUUGGGGCAACAAGGGAGGCUGCCUACUCCCAUAACAGCCUCUUAAUUACCCAUGUGGAUCGGAGAACAUGAUAUUGUGGCAGCAUCGGAUGUCCAAUGCACCCCCUAGUGGCCCCCCAGGUCGAGAACAGUUUCAGGUUAAGAACGGACCUCCAGAACGAAUUAAGUUCUUAACCCGAGGUACCACUGUAUUCACAUGCAUGACUUAAUGAAGCAAUUGCAGACCCAAUGUGGGGUAUACAGUCUGCAAUGCAGGACCUAGCAUUAACAUGGAUUGUCCUAGGAAGAUGGUAUCUGUCUUUUCUCUCUAUGUGCUUAUAAGGUGCUGAAGUGCCUCAAAGAGAAUAUGGGAAGUAGCUUUAUAAUAGGGAUAAAUAAACAAACUUCCUCUGUUCCAUCCUGCCCCCAUUUUUGGGUUCCAUCCACCCUGCAUUCUGCUUCUCUUCUUCUAUGAGUAAGAGAAUGUCCAAAAUCAAAGCACAUGCACUUGAUUGCACCUUUCCAUUCAUUUGUAUCUCUCCCUACUCCAGAUUGCCAAGGCACAUGCUGUGCACAUUGAUAAUACACAGGAAAAGAAAAGGAAAGAAAAAGAGCAAUCUUGAUGCGAUUGGGGGAAAGGCAGCCUUGAUUUGAUUCCACCAAAACUCUGUGGGGUGUUUUACUGAUGCACCUUGUAUGCAUUGAUGAAACACCUCAAAAAGCAACUUUGAUGAGAUGGUGCACAAGGGUUAAGAUUAUUUGGUGUCUGGGAUUUCAUCAAUGCACAAAAGUACAUAUGUGUACUCGUAAAACACAGAGUAAAAAAUAAUCUUGAUUCAAUCAUAUUAACAUCUAUUCCAGUUACAUUUAGUUUCCUUAGAAUGUAGGAAUAAAAAGAUGGAUAACAUUUUCUGUGAUGCAAGGUUUAUUUAUACAUUAACAGGGAGUGUCCAGCAAUGCCUGGAUAUUUUUAGAAACCAAAAAUUAUUGAGAUUUUUGAAUGGGUUGUGAGUUUGGACCUGUCAUGGCCAAAAUAAGGUGAAGUCAAUCCAAUGUCACAUUUUGGUCCACCAGCUUAAUUCAAAAUGGCACAUACAAACAUAAAUGGAACUUUUGCGCCAUGUUUGGUGACAAUAUCUCAAGAGGCAGCCAUACUUAUGUAAAAAAAAUGGGCAAAGUCACACCAAAUUGAUAUAUUGCUCUGUCAUCUUGAUUCAAAAUGGUGUUUGGUGUCCAAAUGGUGUCCAAACCUGCCGCCUUGCCCCAGGAACCCUCGUGGCAGCCAGAGACAACUUCCAGCUCAGUUUCAAUCCUAUAACAAUAUGUAAAGGUAAAAGGUAGAAGACCCCUGGACAGUUGUCCAGUCAAAGGUGACUAUGGGGUUGUGGCGCUCAUCUUGCUUUCAGGCCAAGGGAGUCAGCGUUUGUCCACAGACAGCUUUCCAGGUCAUGUGGCCAGCAUGCCUAAACUGCUUCUGGCACAAUGGGACACCGUGACGGAGCCCCCAGAAAUGCCAUUUACAAUAUGUAUGACCACACCUAGGGUUGCCAUACAUCCGGAAUUUCCCAGAUAUAGCUGGUAUCCAGCUGUUGGAAACAGUGUCUGGGCAGAAAUCUCUGCAAUGUCCAGGGAAACCCAUGUCAGAAGAGUAGUUUUUGGCGAAGCAAAACACAGUUUUGGGCAACACUGAAAAAAGGUCAACAUCUUGUGUGUCUGGAUUUUAACUUUAUGAAAUAUGGCAACCUACACCAAUACUUCUUUUUCCUUUCCCUUUUUUGCAGUGCUUUGUCAGUGUAGACAUGCACAUUGGAAGACAUGCAUGAACCAAAGGAAUUGAAAACUGCACAUGAAACACACUGCAUAUGAAAUAAUACUUUAUACCUCAAGAAAUAGCUGUGCCUUGCUAGUCAACUGUCGCUAUUCAUAAGAUGUAACACUGGCCAGCCAUUAGAGAUGGAUUAACAACCCUUGCUUGCCUCAGAAAACAUCUGGGUUUUAUGUCUGUUCCUUGUAACAACUUGCAAAGCCUUGAGGAGUUGUGUCGCUGCUUGCAAUGAUCACAAAAUGAAGAUAGGAACACCCACCCCACCCCCAACUCCCUCAGAAGCAAUACUC